UGACCUCGGAUCAGGUAGGAAUACCCGCUGAACUUAAGCAUAUCAAUAAAAGGAAGAA
RNAcentral lists this ribosomal RNA (58 nucleotides) under Trichoderma virens. Its description in RNAcentral is "partial 28S ribosomal RNA". Lineage: Eukaryota; Fungi; Ascomycota; Sordariomycetes; Hypocreales; Hypocreaceae. The record is from RNAcentral.